RNAcentral lists this ribosomal RNA (273 nucleotides) under uncultured bacterium. RNAcentral describes it as "partial 16S ribosomal RNA". It matches the Rfam family "Bacterial small subunit ribosomal RNA", at positions 82 to 354 of the family's 1533-position model. The record is from RNAcentral.
CUUCCGCCGGCGAUCGGCGCACGGGUGAGUAACACGUAUGCAACCUGCCCCUGUCAGGGGGACAACCCGCCGAAAGGCGGGCUAAACCCGCGUACAUGCCACCGGGGCAUCCCGGAGGCAGGAAAGGCUUCGGCCGGACAGGGAUGGGCAUGCGGCGCAUUAGGCAGUAGGCGGGGUAACGGCCCACCUAACCGACGAUGCGUAGGGGUUCUGAGAGGAAGGUCCCCCACACUGGUACUGAGACACGGACCAGACUCCUACGGGAGGCAGCAG